UGUCGAAGGGGCCUCCUGAAGCAAGAGAAAACAGCGCCUGCCGUGGAGAAAUGACAAAUCACAGCUGGCGGAUCAAUCUGAGUGUGCUCCUGACAGCAGGGUGGAAUGAAUAAAGACGAGGGGGCUUGAGAUGAGAUGAGAGGAACCAAGUUGAGAGGCUACCCGUUCCGGGAACCCUUCAGGUGGAGGGUCUGUGCUGUCCCAUAAUGCAGUUGUCCAGCACCUCACCACCUUCUGAAGCCAACACAAAGUUCUCCCCUUGGCACCCUCGGGCCUGUGGCUGCUCUCUGCAGUGAGCCUCAGACUGACGGAGAUAAAGGUUCCCUGGGCCCAAGUUCCAAACUCGGCGGUUUUGUUUCGGUUAAAAUGCAAUUGUUUUCCUCUGGAGCGCGCAGUGACUGCUCCGCGUCAGGAAGAUAUAUGAAAACCUCCACUUCAAUUCAGCAUCCUUUUUCUCCCAGACAAACACGGUCGGAUUUUAAUAAAUCAAAG
Molecule: long non-coding RNA, 492 nt
Organism: Echinops telfairi (small Madagascar hedgehog)
Lineage: Eukaryota; Metazoa; Chordata; Mammalia; Afrosoricida; Tenrecidae
Exons: 3
Source: RefSeq, a predicted model, not a curated record